CAUUACCUCCAAUUUGCAAACUAGGAAUCCAGGCAGGAGGAAAUUAAACCCUUAACCAAGGUCAUCUCAGAGUGAAGACUAGAAAUGAAAUGAAGAGUCCCUGCCUCCUUACUUUCCACUGGCCACCUCAAAGGUGGCUACCGAAGGGCUUGCUUUUAUUCCACAGGCAGAGCCAGCUCCUUGCUGCAUCUGACCCUUUUCUUUACAGAGUUCAGUGAGGGCAGGGGAGAGACCUUAUAGAAUGAUGUCUCCACUACAGACUGGUUUUGAGAACUGCCACAUCUCCAACCAUGGAAGCAGAAGUGUGGAAGGCUGAAGGAGUGAAGGGCCUGACGUGCUUCCCAUCUUUCUACCUCUGGCAAUCACUGUAGGGCUACAUGCUAAAGAUGGCAAAGCUAAAGAACGUAUGUUCCUGUGUCCCCCACUUGGCAGGGAAUCACCAAGUAACAUCCACAUUAGACUUCAGGUCUACAGGUGUGGAUGAGAAACAUCUGGCCAGGAAACCAGGCCGCCAGAAUCCCCGGAGUAAGGGCACUCAGCCACGCUAUCAGGAAAGAGGAAGCUCCUCAGCAGUAUUCUGGCCAGCACUGAAAUUCUUCAAGUUUGCAAACCAGGGAACUGCUUCAUGCACCUGCCCUGCCAAGGGUCUUCACAAUGAGGAAGAUUACAUCUCUGAUUUCCCAAUCCUUUGUGAGACCAGGUGCUUAACCCUGCCUGCAGGGAUAACUCUUCUCCCUCUGGAAGAAAUAGCUGUUCUAAGGGGAAGAGAUAUGUCAUGGGGGAAUGGCUUGACUUUUCUCCCAAAAAACAUGUUGUCCAUUUACCUAGUGGGAAAGAAAACUGCACACACUUCCGAGAGCUCAAAGCUGUUUUAGGGCCUGUCCUUCUCCCCCGUCCCCUUUCCUGCCUCCUUCCCUUCUUCCCUCAAAGACACAGAUGGAAAUAAUAUGUUAACUAUA
Long non-coding RNA from Prionailurus viverrinus (fishing cat), 959 nucleotides. RefSeq lists it as uncharacterized. NCBI's taxonomy places the organism in Eukaryota, Metazoa, Chordata, Mammalia, Carnivora, Felidae. The transcript is spliced from 3 exons. The record is from RefSeq and is a predicted model, not a curated record.